CCUACGGGAGGCUGCAGUGAGGAAUAUUGGUCAAUGGACGAGAGUCUGAACCAGCCAAGUAGCGUGAAGGAUGACUGCCCUAUGGGUUGUAACCUUCUUUUAUAAAGGAAUAAAACGAGGCACGUGUGCCUUUUUGCAUGUACUUUAUGAAUAAGGAUCGGCUAACCCCGUGCCAGCAGCCGGGGCAAUACGGAGGCUCCGAGCGUUAUCCGGAUUUUUUGGGUUGAAAGGGAGCGUAGAUGGGUUGUUAAGUCAGUUGUGAAAGUUUGGGGCUCAACCGUAAAAUUGCAAUUGAUACUGGCAGUCUUGAGUACAGUUGAGGUAGGCGGAAUUCGUGGUGUAGCGGUGAAAUGCUUAGAUAUCACGAAGAACCCCGAUUGCGAAGGCAGCUUACUAGACUGUGACUGACAUUGAUGCUCGAAAGUGUGGGUAUCAAACAGGAUUAGAUACCCGGGUAGUC
Molecule: ribosomal RNA, 460 nt
Filed under: uncultured bacterium
Lineage: Bacteria
Description: partial 16S ribosomal RNA
Rfam family: Bacterial small subunit ribosomal RNA
Source: RNAcentral